Molecule: long non-coding RNA, 5599 nt
Organism: Dermochelys coriacea (leatherback sea turtle)
Lineage: Eukaryota; Metazoa; Chordata; Testudines; Dermochelyidae
Exons: 3
Source: RefSeq, a predicted model, not a curated record
GUUUUGCAGGGAGCCGGGCCGGGGGAGGCGGCGGCCGCGGCGGCGGCUGCGCGCCCGCGAAGGGGCCAAGCGGGGAGCCGGGGCGCUGGGGCCGGGCGGAGGCACGGUGAAGGCAGAGGCGUCCGUCCCCUUCAUCCUGGCGCGGCGCGGGGGAGGGAGGCCCGGCUGGCUUCGGAUCGGGUUGCAGCGCGGCCGGUGGGAGCCGGGUGACACCCCCCUGCUCCGUCAGCCGCGGAGGGGGAUGGGGCCGGGAGAGAAGCGCUGGGCUGGAGUGUGCGGUCGCCAUGCUAAGGGGGGGGGACGGGCUCCUUUGUGUGCCCGAGGGGAGAGCUCCUGGGGUGCAUGAAUCCCGCCCCGCAGCGCCUCUCAUGGCACAAGGGGACGCCUCGUGCAAAGCGCUGCCCCGUCCCCCGACCACCUUUGCACCCCGAAGUGGCCCCAGCCCUGGUUGCGCCCCUGUUGGCGCUGGCUUGCCACGAGGAUCGGAGCGGCUGUAAGCGGAAAGGGCCACCGGCUUUAAAGCAAACGCUGGGGAAGGAGCAGCAAACGCGCCAUUCGCAAUCGGGAGCGUUCACGCCACGACCCCGCUUCUCGAGUUCCAGCCGCGGGCCAAGAACGGAGCCCGGAGCCCGAGCGCAGCAGCCUGGACGAGCAGUGUCUCGUACUGCACCGGCUCUCCCAAAGAAAUCCUGCAGCAAAUCACUGUGAAUGCAUAAAAUCCAAGAAACUCACCGGCCACUUGGUGACCAUUUGCAAAUAGAGCAGGCGGCAGAAUUCAUGGAAUACCCGCUAUUUCUAGCUACUGUUCCCUUGGGGUUUCUGCCACCUGGAAGCUCUGAAGAGCCAGACCAUCGCUCCCUGUUUUCAAGAGGGAAUGAUGCAGUGGAGAACAGCAGUUCAGGAGACACAAUUUUAUCUCCAUGCACUCUUUAAGGCAUGAAAGGGAGGACUGGUCCCAAAGUAAGCCAUAGCUCCCUGGGAACUGAGCUGGGCCAGUCUCUAAGUAGCACUUCUCUUGAGGUACAAAAAAUGGCUCUUACCCUAUUGUUUGAACAAGGGAAAAUAUUAUGCAAAAGAUUAAAAUAAACAUUUUGGGGAAACGGGAAAAUUGAGCAGUUACUGCCAUGCUCCCUGUUGCUGCAGUAUGCUUUCAGGUCUGCCCUGUGCUUUUGGCUCUCCAGCCAGGCCUUGAGAAUGCUCUCAGGACUUGCAAAUUCAAGGAAGUUUCCAAAAUCUAAGCACUUUCAGCUGCAUACGCAGGAGAGGGACAGAAAGGUGGGUCCUGUCCCAGCAGGCUGCAAAGAUGGAGACAUAUUAUUUUCUGAUUUAGAAAAAACAGAAUUGAUCUCAGGUUUGUUUUUCCUUUGACAGUGUAAACACCAUGUGACAGUGGGGUUGAGCUGACCGGAAAUCAUGUCAGUUUCCAAUUGCAGGCUGGCUUGUGCCAGCUGUGCUCUUCUCUGUCCAGACUUGUACCAUGGCAUUACAAGAGUGGUCACUUCGAUAAGCACAGAGAAUGUCCUCAUUGGCCCCAGAAGCAGUUCUGGUGUAAAAUCACCAUUCAGCAUCUGAGGGAGGAAAUGGUUUAACAAACCAAUGGGCUGACAGUUUCUGCUGCUCGCUCACAGGAAGUGAAAUGAGGUAAAGCAAAAGUGCGUUGUUCUCCAGCAAGACAAUGAUCCUACUGGGACCCGUGGAACAAGGUACUGUAAAGCUGUGAAUCUGGAGGGGGUUGGCAUGCAAUGAGCCUCCAGGCAACUUUCAAGAAUAACAAUAAAAUGAAUCUGUGUUCACAUGCUGUCAGUCUGCUGUAGAUUGCUUUCCGAUUGUGCAAUGCUCCCUUAGAAUGUCAGUUCUCAUCCUGACUAUACUUAUGUCCAUUCUGCACUGUCAUAACCUCCACCAACUUCCACAGGGUCGCUUGGAGCACACUGAACUAAGAAUAGACAGUGAAUAGACUGUGCUCUACCAUUCCCAGGAUUGAACCUGUAAGUACUUAAGGGCAACAUGUCACUUAGGGUUUGUCUACACAGCAGGGGAAUGUAUUCUGUGGGGGAGCGAUUUCUAAAUCGCACUCAUGUGCAUUAGUGCAUUGUGCAUUAGUUGGUCCAUGAAGACACAGUAGUACAUUAAAGCACACUAAGUAACCUUUAGUACGCACCAGCAGGAUCUACGCAGACCAAUUAAUAUGCAACACGAGUGCGCUUUAGAAAUCACACCCCUGUAGAGCACAUUACCUUAAGGUGUAAACAAGUGCUAAAUUAUGGAAAAUUUGGAAACAGUAUUUCAAUAGACACAAAUAGUGCCAAACCUUCUUCUGAUUUAAUCUCAGAUUAAGAUGGCCACAGCAUUUAUGGGGUGAAACUGCAGCCUGUGGAAACUCUUAAUGAGGUUGUCACUUGAGGAACUUGGACUGUGUCCCACCUAGGGAUAAGGGAUUGGCCAUCCUAUGGGGUACUGAAAAUUAAUCCCCUUCAGUUUUCAGAGUAACCAGUAUGAAUUCUCCAAUACACAGGGUAAAAUUCUGUUCUCUGCAUAUUGGAGCUAUAUGCUGAUAUUCUGACAAAUUCUGACACGGCUGCUACUCUGAAACAGCUGAUAUUCUGGUCUCUCUGCAAAGGUGGAUCUCUCAGUGAUAUCAAUGGGUCUCCCACAUAUACGCUGUGUGGAGAGAAUAUUGGUCUGAAGUCCUCUCUAAGGGCUUGGCUACAAGGGGACAUCCAGGAAAAUAAAUCUGAAUUAACAAAAGGUGUGAAUUUGAAGUGGAUUAGUUAAACUGCAUUAAACCCUGUGUGAACACCCUCCUUCAGAAUUAAUGUGGCCUUGCUUCAAGAAGGCUGCUUAAUUCUGAAGGAGGGUGUUCACACAGGAGUUUGAUGUGGUUUAACUAAUCCAUUUCAAAUCCACACCUUCGGUUAAUUUGGAUUUAUUUUCCUGGAUGACCCUGUGUAGAGAAAUCCUUAAGACUUUGUUUACACCACAAAAUGAAGGUGUUUGGGUUUUUUUAUAGCACAGGUAGGUUUACCAUUGCUAUCUUUAAUCUAGCUAGCCACAAGUCCCAGUAGUAGUGAAGACAGGUGGUAUAGGCUAUCAACCUCGGUACAAGCCUGCCAGAGACUCUGGGUACAUAUUCUGGUUGCUAGUCUGUGGUGUAGCCUAUGCAGCCAUGUCUUUGCUAGUAUUGUUACCCACACUAGCUAGAUUAAAACCAGGCAUACACUGUAAAACCAUCAGCUGGAGAACUUUGUGGCAUGGGUAUAUUACCUUGAAACAAAAGCUACCUCAAUAAUAAUCUUAUUAAACUAACUACAGGCUCAAUAGAUUGGUCUAAACACUAAAUAUCUCAGCUGUUUCAACUCCUUUUAAUAAUAUCAAAAGAACUUGGCUCAUUUUAAAGCUACAGUCAAGCAGAUGAAAUCUACAUUUUGUGAUUAGUGGGUUUUUUUUUUACAUAAGAUGAAAGGAUCUAAUUAAUAGAAAGUAUUUAAUGGUUAUUUUUAAAGGAAAAAUGAUUUUUGACUGACAAUUCCCAGCAGUGUCUGCAGCCCAAACAUUGCAACACUUGAACUAGUGCAUGAAAACCUCAAAGUGACUAGAAACAGACGUGGAAGUGAAGGUGUCUAUUUUCAUUACUUGCAUUUUUUCAGGGUGGAUAAAUGGCAUAAAUGAAGAAUGAAUUUGAAUUUUGAAAUUCUGUCUUCAUCGUUUAGGUUGUUAUUAAUGACAGAGGCAAGGACACUUGUUAUGUAAGCUUUGUUUUCUGAACAAUGUCAAUGCUUGUGUGCAUGUCUGACAUGUAUGCACAUUUUAAUGCAACUGUGUAUGCAAACUAGAAAAUUACAUAUGUAACUAGAUGAUUGAAUGUGCAGUUGCAAUAGCAUAUAUGUAAAACCAUGAUCCGGGCAACAAUUUACAUUCUAUUCUGGAAUAAAAUAUAAGCUUGUGUACUAUCAGGGCUUAAAUUAAACUCAACUUCUUUAAACCCCAGGCCCAUUUUUUUUAGCCUACUGUUUUUUCUUUUAAAUUUAAACCCGAUGUGAGCCUUCCAGGAAAGCAUCCAACAUCGAAGGCAAAGCCCAGAUUACACUUUUAGUCAAUGUAACCUCAAUAAUAGACUAGUCAAGGUAUUAUAUUGGUAGCAUUGAAACCUUUUUAAAUUGGGGAUAUGAAAAAAUUUCUACACUAUAUUGCCUAUUUUUUAAAAAUUGUUUUAAAAUCUUGAACGUUACCAUAAUAAUCCAGCUUUAGAAAGCUUCCUUAUUCCUUUUAAACCCCUUUGAGAGUCCCCUAAAGAUAUCCAAAGAGAUUUUCUCCUUCCCCCUGUCCAGUAAUAGGGAGCAGCUGGGUCUAUUUAAAAUUGAUUUUGAUCUCUCCAAGCAGGAUUUGAUUUCUCCGCACACUGAGCUUUUGCCUGAAGAGAGUGUACAGUAGAGCAGAAAUUCUGAGAUGUCAGCUGGCAUGGCAAGAGUCGAAGAGAAAAUGAGCAGCUCACUCUGUGCCCACAGGCAUAAGCAUGAGACGGCGACAUGGGCAAAGUGAUUGUCAGUGUGACAGUGGUUGGAGUUUGCUGGCCGUAUACAAUUAAAACAGAAUAAAUCCAUCUUCUUGCUGAGCUCCAGAUCACAGAUGGUCCCAAUGGGGUGCAGCAGCAUAAGAAACACUCAUGCAAAGUGUUCAGCAUCUUGUAGAAUCAGACCCAAACUUAACACCAGUAUUCUUAAAUACCUGAAAAGUUGAAUAUUGAGCAAGAAGUUUCAGGAAAAGUUGACCUUCAGAGAAGACUACAUUCUCCAAAUUGUUAUAGAAGAUGUGUGGGUGCAUGGAGGGAAUCCAAGUAAUAUUUGGAAAUAUUAAAAUACAGUGUAUAUUGUUUGGUAUUGCUUUAGAUUUCUGAGUUUUUUCAGGACAGGGAAUGUGAGGGAAGUCAGAAAUGAAAGAAGGUGGGGAGUAGGAACGAGAUACCAUUAAGAGUUCUAGCCAACCACUAAUUUGCUAUUCAGUUUACCAACCUGUAGUUUAUUAUGUAUGGUAUGUGAAGGAACCUGUUUAGCCAAAAGGGAAAUGCCUUUUGUGUUAAGAGUGACCCUAAUCUAAUAUGGCCUUUUGAGUUGACUCAAUUAAAUCCUUUCUGUUUCAAUUAAAUAAUCAGCCACAAUUUAAUAAAAUGAAUAGCCGUGUGUUGUCUCCGUGUCUGAUGACUUUAGAGAUCAAGAAGCCUUAUGUAAAUUCUGUGAAUUACUUUUUAUCGGCUUGUGUGUCGCUUCCACCAAAAAAUGGCGCCUGUCAGUGUAUUAAAAUUCUUUCCCCAUCUUCUUAUUGCAACACUGUUUACAAUAAUGAUUCCCAGCUGAUGGGGCUUGAAAUAUCUCUAGUUUCUUUUACAUCUGCCAACAAAAUUGACCCUUUCUGAUUGGAAAAAGGGACCAUCCAGUAUAGAUAAAUUUCCGGUGGGGUCUUCUGUGUCCCCUUUUUCAUUGUGAACUUGAAUUCUGUGCUGUGAAUAGCAAUGUCUUGGCCUAUUCCAAAUUUUCCAAAUUUUAGUUGAGCCAUCCACUGAGCAAUUUGAUAGCAAAGCAAAUCUAAUCCCUCCCCCAAAUCU